RNAcentral lists this ribosomal RNA (499 nucleotides) under uncultured bacterium. RNAcentral describes it as "bacterial SSU rRNA". It matches the Rfam family "Bacterial small subunit ribosomal RNA", at positions 29 to 521 of the family's 1533-position model. The record is from RNAcentral.
AAUGAACGCUGGCGGCGCGCCUAAUACAUGCAAGUCGAGCGAGAAGACGUAGCAAUACGUUUGUAAAGCGGCGAACGGGUGAGGAAUACAUGGGUAACCUACCCUCGAGUGGGGAAUAACUAGCCGAAAGGUUAGCUAAUACCGCGUACGCUCCUUGGACUUCGGUUCAGGGAGGAAAGCGAUACCGUGGGUAUCGCGCUCUUGGUUGGGCUCAUGUCCUAUCAGCUUGUUGGUGAGGUAACGGCUCACCAAGGCUUCGACGGGUAGCUGGUCUGAGAGGACGAUCAGCCACACUGGCACUGCGACACGGGCCAGACUCCUACGGGAGGCAGCAGUAAGGAAUAUUGCGCAAUGGGCGAAAGCCUGACGCAGCGACGCCGCGUGGGGGAUGAAGGUCUUCGGAUUGUAAACCCCUUUCGGGAGGGAAGAUGGAACGAGCAAUCGUUCGGACGGUACCUCCAGAAGCAGCCACGGCUAACUUCGUGCCAGCCGCCGCGGU